GUGCGAGACCGAUAGCGAACAAGUACCGUGAGGGAAAGAUGAAAAGAACUUUGAAAAGAGAGUUAAAGAGUACCUGAAACUGCUGAAAGGGAAGCGAAUCGUAUCCAGUGUCUAUAAUCUGCGGCAUAUUUCAUUGGCGGCGGUGCGCGUGCUUUUGCGUCGGAAGCGGCUUUUGUUGCUCUGUGCUUUUGCUGUGCGUGGUGUUGCUGGUGCCCUGUGUUGCGGUGGGACGUCAGAGUCAGUUUGUAUGCUGCGGGAAAUGGCUGCCGAGGAGGUAGGUCGAGAUUUCGGUCUUGGCUGUUAUAUCUUGGUGGUUUGUUGUCGUGGUUGAGACUGAGGUGCCUACAAUGUGCUUUUGAGUGUACCGGGUUCUCAUUUGGUGGACUGUUUGGAUAGCUUGCUAUGCUUGUGGUUUUUUCAUCNGGUGAUUGANUCUGGNGGNANCUUGUUGCUGUUCGGGACUUUGA
This 467-nucleotide ribosomal RNA is filed under the name uncultured Oomycota. RNAcentral's name for it is "LSU rRNA". The stretch from base 1 to 83 matches the Rfam family "Bacterial large subunit ribosomal RNA", at positions 476 to 559 of the family's 2925-position model. Lineage: Eukaryota; Oomycota. The record is from RNAcentral.